CGCCCAUAACGAUGACUGCUUGGAUUUGUGGUUUCCGCCCUUUCUGCUGCAGCUAACGCAUUAAGCACUCCGCCUGGGGAGUACGGUCGCAAGACUGAAACUCAAUGGAAUUGAGGGGGGCCCGCACAAGCGGUGGAGCAUGUGGUUUAAUUCGAAGCAACGCGAAAAACCUUACCAGGUCUUGGCAUCCUCUGACAACUCUAGAGAUAGAGCGUUCCCCUUCGGGGGACAGAGUGACAGGUGGUGCAUGGUUGUCGUCUCUCGUGUCGUGAGAUGUUGGGUUAAGUCCCGCAACGAGCGCAACCCUUGAUCUUUUUGCCAGUUUUAGUUGGGCACUCUAAGGUGACUGCCGGUGACAAACCGGAGGAAGGUGGGGAUGACGUCAAAUCAUCAUGCCCCUUAUGACCUGGGCUACACACGUGCUACAAUGGAUGGUACAAAGGGCUGCCAGACCGCGAGGUCAAGCCCCUCCCAUAAAACCAUUCUCAGUUCGGAUUGUAGGCUGCAACUCGCCUACAUGAAGCUGGAAUCGCUAGUAAUCGCGGAUCAAUGUGCCGCGGAGAAUACUUUCCCGGCCCUUGUACACCCCCCCCGUCACACCGCGAGAGUUUGUAACACCCAAUAUCUGUGGUAUAACUCUAAAGAGCUAUCACCCUAAUGUGGGACAGAUGAUUGGGGAGAACUCAUAAAGGGGUACACAAAAA
Molecule: ribosomal RNA, 704 nt
Filed under: uncultured Bacillus sp.
Lineage: Bacteria; Bacillati; Bacillota; Bacilli; Caryophanales; Bacillaceae
Description: bacterial SSU rRNA
Rfam family: Bacterial small subunit ribosomal RNA
Source: RNAcentral